Gopherus flavomarginatus (Mexican gopher tortoise) is the source of this 546-nucleotide long non-coding RNA. RefSeq lists it as uncharacterized. The record is from RefSeq and is a predicted model, not a curated record. The transcript has 3 exons. NCBI's taxonomy places the organism in Eukaryota, Metazoa, Chordata, Testudines, Testudinidae.
AGAUCCUGCCUACGAUCAAGAAACUCAAGAGCAACAGAAACAUGUAGCUCUUACUCAGCAAGAGCAAUUCAGGAGUAUUACAGUAUUAAAAUACCACUGACAUGAUGGCAAGUAGUUCACAGCCACGGAAACGAAAGGCAUGGACAGUCAAAAAAAAAUUGGAAGCUUUGGCGAGACUGAAAAUAGGAAUGAGCCAAACAAAAGUCUCAAAAGAACUAGGAGUGAGGGAUAUCAACAUUAAGAGGGUGGAUCAAAAUUACAAUCAAUGCUUGUUGAACUGGUUGAAAAUGAAGGCCUGGAAAGGAAGCACCUAAAAACUGCUCAGGAUAACCAACUAGAUAGAACAGUAUUUACGUGGUUUACCGAAGAAAUGCUCUGAAGGCACGCCAAUUUCUGGUGACAUUAUGAGGAAACAAGCGGAGAAACUGAAGAAGGAUCUCUAUUUUAGAUGCUCGGGCUAGGACAUUUCUGCACAUCAAGGGAUUGUCCAUUUUGGCCGAUGUACAUAGCAGAGGGGCAUUGCUGGCACAUGAUGGCGUAUAUUAU